This 468-nucleotide ribosomal RNA is filed under the name uncultured bacterium. RNAcentral's name for it is "partial 16S ribosomal RNA". It matches the Rfam family "Bacterial small subunit ribosomal RNA", at positions 28 to 507 of the family's 1533-position model. The record is from RNAcentral.
GACGAACGCCGGCGGCGUGCUUAACACAUGCAAGUCGAACGGAAAGGCCCUGCUUUUGUGGAGUGCUCGAGUGGCGAACGGGUGAGUAACACGUGAGUAACCUGCCCUUGACUUUGGGAUAACUUCAGGAAACUGGGGCUAAUACCGGAUAGGAGCUCCUGCUGCAUGGUGGGGGUUGGAAAGUUUCGGCGGUUGGGGAUGGACUCGCGGCUUAUCAGCUUGUUGGUGGGGUAGUGGCUUACCAAGGCUUUGACGGGUAGCCGGCCUGAGAGGGUGACCGGCCACAUUGGGACUGAGAUACGGCCCAGACUCCUACGGGAGGCAGCAGUGGGGAAUAUUGCACAAUGGGCGGAAGCCUGAUGCAGCAACGCCGCGUGCGGGAUGACGGCCUUCGGGUUGUAAACCGCUUUCGCCUGUGACGAAGCGUGAGUGACGGUAAUGGGUAAAGAAGCACCGGCUAACUACGUG